GUCUGGGUGACUCAGUCGGUUGAGCGGCUGACUUUGACUCAGGUCAUGAUCUCCCAGCUUGUGGGUUCGAGCCCCACGCCAGGCU
RNAcentral lists this transfer RNA (85 nucleotides) under Felis catus (domestic cat). It matches the Rfam family "tRNA". From Rfam's summary of the family: Transfer RNA (tRNA) molecules are approximately 80 nucleotides in length. Their secondary structure includes four short double-helical elements and three loops (D, anti-codon, and T loops). Lineage: Eukaryota; Metazoa; Chordata; Mammalia; Carnivora; Felidae. The record is from Rfam by way of RNAcentral.